GAUGAAGAACGCAGUGAAAUGCGAUAAGUAAUGUGAAUUGCAGAAUUCAGUGAAUCAUCGAAUCUUUGAACGCACCUUGCACCCUUUGGACUGCUCCAAAGGGUAUGCUCGUUUGAGUGUCAUUGUACUCUCACACUCUCUGAUCCUUUGGAUUUGGGGAGCAGUGGACUUGGGUGCUUGCUGCUUCCUUGUGGCUCACCUGAAAUGCAUCAGUGCAUCUCUCGAUUGGACAUAGUACGGCGUGAUAAGUGUCUUCGCCGGCACCUCAUAUGAGGGUGGCCGAUCGGGAGCUCUGUGCUUUCAAACCGUCUUCGGACAACGCUGACAACUUGACCUCAAUCGAGUAGGACUACCCGCUGAACUUAAGCAUAUCAAUAAGCGGAGGA
Molecule: unclassified non-coding RNA, 386 nt
Filed under: soil metagenome
Description: partial contains 5.8S ribosomal RNA, internal transcribed spacer 2, and large subunit ribosomal RNA
Rfam family: 5.8S ribosomal RNA (bases 1-122)
Source: RNAcentral